This 642-nucleotide ribosomal RNA is filed under the name Syrphidae sp. MT-2014. Its description in RNAcentral is "16S ribosomal RNA". It matches the Rfam family "Bacterial large subunit ribosomal RNA", at positions 1769 to 2700 of the family's 2925-position model. Lineage: Eukaryota; Metazoa; Arthropoda; Insecta; Diptera; Syrphidae. The record is from RNAcentral.
AAAGAAUUCGGCAAAAAUAUAAUAUUCGCCUGUUUAACAAAAACAUGUCUUUUAGAAAUUAAUUUAAAGUCUAACCUGCCCACUGAAUUUUUUAAAUGGCCGCAGUAUUUUAACUGUGCAAAGGUAGCAUAAUCAUUAGUCUUUUAAUUGAAGGCUGGAAUGAAUGGUUGGACGAAAUAUUAACUGUUUCAUUUGAAUUUAUAAUAAAAUUUUAUUUUUUAGUCAAAAAGCUAAAAUAAAUUUAAAAGACGAGAAGACCCUAUAAAUCUUUAUAUAUAAAUUAUUUUAAUUUUAUAGAUGUUUUUAAUUAUAAUAACUUUAUUUAUUUUAUUGGGGUGAUAGUAAAAUUUAAUUAACUUUUAAAAUUUAAAUCAUUAAUAUAUGAAUAAUUGAUCCAUUUUUAAUGAUUAUAAAAUUAAGUUACUUUAGGGAUAACAGCGUAAUUUUUUUGGAGAGUUCAUAUUGAUAAAAAAGAUUGCGACCUCGAUGUUGGAUUAAGAUAUAAUUUUAGGUGUAGCCGUUUAAAUUUAAAGUCUGUUCGACUUUUAAAAUCUUACAUGAUCUGAGUUCAAACCGGUGUAAGCCAGGUUGGUUUCUAUCUUUAAUAAAUUUAUAUAUUUUAGUACGAAAGGAUUAAAUAUA